CAUGAGGAAAGGGACAGUGAUAUGAUUUGGUUGGUUCGUCACCUAGAUCUCAUCUUGAAUUGUAGCUCCCAUAAUCCCCACGUGUUGUGGGAGGGACCUGAUGGGAAGUAAUGGAAUCAUGAGGUUCCUGUGCUGUUCUCAUGACAGUGAGUAAGUCUCACGAGAUCUGAUGGUUUUAUAAAGGGUAGUUCCCCUGCACUCCUGUUAAGAAGGACAUGUUUGCUUCCCUUUCCACCAUAUUGAGAGAAGACUGUUCUCUGGUCAAGUUUGUGCUUCUGGGAACAUCUCAUCAAACGUCCUGCCAGCGGGCUUAGUACUGGAAUUUGAAUAUGGGCUUCUCUUUUCAUCAACCAGCUGUGUUGCUGUCAGCUUUUAUCUCGGGCUGGACACUUUGGAGUGUUUAACUGAAAGUGAUGAAAGGCACCAGGGGAGCCAGAAGAGCAGAAGAGGUGACAGCUGACCAGAAAGAGACUGGCUCUGCAGCCUGGGCAACCUGUCAUGGAAAGGUACUGCAGCUGCAGGCCUCAGAGCUGUCCAGAAUUACUCUCAUGAACAUGUUUGGGAAAGAAGUUAUGAAGUAGAGGCAAGAGUGUGUUACAGAACUGCUUAAUCCCAUUGCCUGAGCCUUCCAGCCUGGAGAUUAUCCAUCAUGUGACUAAGAAUGAGAUGACACCUGUACAGAUACACGAUUUGCCUCUCAGCUGUUUAGCUGUUUCUAUAAGAAGCCUGAGCCGUUAAGGUACUCUCAGGGCAGGAAUGACCUAGAAGAGAUGGAAUAUAAGCUCAAGACAAUAAGAUGGGGGCCUGGUCAAACACCCUUCCUUAUGUGAACUAGGAAUCUUGGUUAUAGCCCAUGUUUUUCCUUCUUCUCCAAACCCAGGUGAUGAUUUUGGUUUAAGAGCCUCAUCUAUGAGAAAUUCCAUAUCAAAAUUAUUGCAGGGAGAAUAGACCUCUUCCAUUAUCUAGAACAAAAGUUAGUAUUUUCCCCUAUGUCUUCUCUUUUCUUUCUUCUGUACUUCCUAUUACUUUUGGUGCUGUAGAAAAAUUUCUCUGUCCAAAAAGACGUGAAAUAUUUCAGACAUAUUUUACCAAGGGUGUGUGUAGCACACAUCAACUUGCUUGAGCUUCUCUGAUAUAUAGCCAAUGUUUUAAUGUUCCCAUUUAGCCAAUCCAUAAUACAUCUUCACAGUGUUGGCCUAAUCACAAAUGACAAGGGUGGAAAAUGUAAUAAAGACAGGGGCACAUUAAUCUACUUUGUAUGAAAAUGUGGAAAGGUAAUCCAAUUUUGAACUGCUUGCUCUUACAAAAUAUACAUAAGUUUGUAUGAUUUCUGCAUCUUAGUUGGGGAGAUGGUAGUCAAUCCUAAAGAGUUAUAUUUCAGGUAAAGAGUCCUCAGUCCCUUACAUGUAUGCACAGAGGUAGUGGCCCAUACUGAGAAAUAAAGAUGGGGACUCUGGGGAAUGAGUUGCCUGAUGGUCUAUUGGAAGCCUCUAUAUCUGGCAAUAUUCAGGGGUGUUCAUUCCUGUAGGUCUUAGAGAGAGAUUCCAAUAUUAGGGAUGCUGUUGUGUCUUCCCCUGCAUAGCCCCUAAGGCUAGUUCAUAUGAAAAGUAAAUCUGACUCUGCUCCCUAAAAACAAAGAUGAAAAAUCCAUAGAAGGGAGGUAGAUUCAGCUAGAAAGUGUAUUUCUAGCAGGGGAGUUGGUGUGAGGGAGAGAAUAGUUAUGAUGAAGUCAGGCUUGUCUUAAACCACAUCUGAUGUCAUUCCAAUCACUGUGUGUGUCUGCACUUGUGGGUUGUCUGCAUGGCAUGCAUGAAUGUUGAUGCAUCUGCAGUGCUCUCACCCAGCAGAGAAGCAUAGAGAAAUGUGAGCUCUGGACUUAAAGAGCGCUGAGUGUUAAUCUCACUUUCUAUUUGCUCUGCGACAUGACUAGCAGUCCAACUCCUCUGAAUCCCAGUUUCUUUUUCAGUGAAACAGAGAUUGUACUAGUUAUCUCUUAGGAUUAGUAGAAAUACAGGACCCAGAAAUUCUAUUCUUAGAUAUCUACCCAAGAUAAAUACAAACAAAACAUAGGCAAAUGUGUACAAAAACUUGUACAUGGAUGUUCAUAGCAACAUUAUUCACUAUAGAUAAAAGGUGGAAACAACCCAAAUGUCUAUCAACUGACAAAUGCAUAAACAAAAUGUGGCUUAUUAUUGAAAUAAACAAUGGAAAAUUAUUCAGCCAUUAAAAGGAAUGAAGUACUGACGCAUGCUACAGCAUGAAUUUGCCUUUAAAACAUUAUGCUAAGUGAAAGAAUCUUGUCACAAAAGACCACAUAUAUGAUCCCUUUGUAUGAAAUGUCCAGAAAACAGAAAGAUGUAGUGACAGAAAUGAGAUUCAUGGUUGGCCUAAAUUUUUUUCAGUAAAAGCAGCUUUCCUUCCUGUUUGAGGAGGAUCGUUUCUUCUUUCUUGUGAACUUAUACUGGUUUUCCUGCCAUGUUCUUUCCUUACAAGGGCUUCUGAUUCUCCUAAGGACAUAUCUCCACCACGGUUUUUCUCUUCCUCAGCUAUAACCAGUAUCACAUCCUAGCAAGUGACUCCCAGAAGAUGAGGUUCACAAAAGGACCUAUAAAAAAUUAUAGUACACACCAAAAUAAUUGCAUGAUUUUUCCAAUUUAUAUAAAUAGAAUCCAUGUGUGUGGGAAUAGAUCCUAAGGCUGUUGGAUAAUGGUGAAAGGAAUAUAUAUAAUAUUGGACUGAGGAUCUGGGAAUAAUCCUACUAGCUUGUUUGCUAGGUUGACUAAAAGCUGGACAUGAAAUUGACCUAAAUUAUGUUAAAUGGAAAUGCUAAAAAUCCCCUGGCAUAUUGUAAAGGAAAAUAUCUAUUGGCUUAAGAAAACUAGGAUGCUAGAGUGGAUGUUAUUAAGUAAAAACAUGCCUUGUUAGUAUAUCCCCUAGAGGACUCAUUCUUCACUAAUGCUAUGAAAAAUAUAUUGAUGAGCAGUCCCCUUGCAUCCUUGAAGAACUCUCUGAUAGAUCCAUUAACUACAUGAGGA
This 3035-nucleotide long non-coding RNA is filed under the name Homo sapiens (human). RNAcentral describes it as "HSALNT0028613". The record is from RNAcentral. Lineage: Eukaryota; Metazoa; Chordata; Mammalia; Primates; Hominidae.